GAUGAACGCUGGCGGCGUGCCUAAUACAUGCAAGUCGAGCGAACAGACGAGGAUCUUGCUCCUCUGACGUCAGCGGCGGACGGGUGAGUAACACGUGGAUAACCUACCUAUAAGACUGGGCUAACUUCGGGAAACCGGAGCUAAUACCGGAUAAUAUAUUGAACCGCAUGGUUCAAUAGUGAAAAACGGUUUUGCUGUCACUUAUAUAUGGAUCCGCGCCGCAUUAGCUAGUUGGUAAGGUAAAGGCUUACCACGGCAACGAUGCGUAGCCGACCGGAGAGGGUGAUCGGCCACACUGGAACUGAGACACGGUCCAGACUCCUACGGGAGGCAGCAGUAGGGAAUCUUCCGCAAUGGGCGAAAGCCAGACGGAGCAACGCCGCGUGAGUGAUGAAGGUCUUCGGAUCGGAAAACUAUGUUAUUAGGGAAGAAGAAAUGUGUAAGUAACUAUGCACGUCUUGACGGUACCUAAUCAGAAAGCAACGGCUAACUACGUG
RNAcentral lists this ribosomal RNA (497 nucleotides) under uncultured bacterium. RNAcentral describes it as "partial 16S ribosomal RNA". It matches the Rfam family "Bacterial small subunit ribosomal RNA", at positions 28 to 507 of the family's 1533-position model. The record is from RNAcentral.